AUCCAACUGAAGAGUUGUAAAUAGGAUGAAAUGCGCAUCCUUGAU
Molecule: non-coding RNA, 45 nt
Filed under: Schistosoma haematobium
Lineage: Eukaryota; Metazoa; Platyhelminthes; Trematoda; Strigeidida; Schistosomatidae
Source: RNAcentral